RNAcentral lists this ribosomal RNA (301 nucleotides) under uncultured bacterium. Its description in RNAcentral is "partial 16S ribosomal RNA". It matches the Rfam family "Bacterial small subunit ribosomal RNA", at positions 509 to 807 of the family's 1533-position model. The record is from RNAcentral.
CAGUCGCCACGGGAAUACGGAGGGUGCAAGCGUUAAUCGGAAUUACUGGGCGUAAAGCGCACGCAGGCGGUCUGACAAGUCAGAUGUGAAAUCCCCGGGCUUAACCUGGGAACUGCAUUUGAAACUGUCAGGCUGGAGUCUUGUAGAGGGGGGUGGAAUUCCAGGUGUAGCGGUGAAAUGCGUAGAGAUCUGGAGGAAUACCGGUGGCGAAGGCGGCCCCCUGGACAAAGACUGACGCUCAGGUGCGAAAGCGUGGGGAGCAAACAGGAUUAGAUACCUGCGUAGUCCCUGUCUCUUAUAC